UACGAAGGGAGCUAGCGUUGUUCGGAAUUACUGGGCGUAAAGCGCACGUAGGCGGGUAGUUUAGUCAGGGGUGAAAUCCUGAGGCUCAACCUCAGAACUGCCUUUGAUACUGGCUACCUUGAGGUCGGGAGAGGUUGGUGGAAUUCCUAGUGUAGAGGUGAAAUUCGUAGAUAUUAGGAAGAACACCAGUGGCGAAGGCGGCUCACUGGCCCGGUACUGACGCUCAGGUGCGAAAGCGUGGGGAGCAAACAGG
This 253-nucleotide ribosomal RNA is filed under the name uncultured bacterium. RNAcentral's name for it is "partial 16S ribosomal RNA". It matches the Rfam family "Bacterial small subunit ribosomal RNA", at positions 524 to 776 of the family's 1533-position model. The record is from RNAcentral.